GAGUUUGAUCCUGGCCAGAUUGAACGCUGGCGGCAUGCCUUACACAUGCAAGUCGAACGGUAACAGGUCUUCGGAUGCUGACGAGUGGCGAACGGGUGAGUAAUACAUCGGAACGUGCCCGAUCGUGGGGGAUAACGGAGCGAAAGCUUUGCUAAUACCGCAUACGAUCUACGGAUGAAAGCAGGGGACCGCAAGGCCUUGCGCGGACGGAGCGGCCGAUGGCAGAUUAGGUAGUUGGUGGGAUAAAAGCUUACCAAGCCGACGAUCCUGUAGCUGGUCUGAGAGGACGACCAGCCACACGUGGACUGAGACGACGGCCC
RNAcentral lists this ribosomal RNA (320 nucleotides) under uncultured microorganism. RNAcentral describes it as "bacterial SSU rRNA". It matches the Rfam family "Bacterial small subunit ribosomal RNA", at positions 9 to 332 of the family's 1533-position model. The record is from RNAcentral.